Molecule: ribosomal RNA, 189 nt
Filed under: uncultured Flavobacterium sp.
Lineage: Bacteria; Pseudomonadati; Bacteroidota; Flavobacteriia; Flavobacteriales; Flavobacteriaceae
Description: partial 16S ribosomal RNA
Rfam family: Bacterial small subunit ribosomal RNA
Source: RNAcentral
CCUACGGGAGGCAGCAGUGAGGAAAUUGGACAAUGGAGGCAACUCUGAUCCAGCCAUGCCGCGUGCAGGAUGACUGCCCUAUGGGUUGUAAACUGCUUUUAUAUAGGAAGAAACCUUUCCAUGCGUGGGAAUUUGACGGUACUAUAUGAAUAAGCACCGGCUAACUCCGUGCCAGCAGCCGCGGUAAUA